Long non-coding RNA from Cucurbita moschata (crookneck pumpkin), 970 nucleotides. RefSeq lists it as uncharacterized. The transcript has 2 exons. NCBI's taxonomy places the organism in Eukaryota, Viridiplantae, Streptophyta, Magnoliopsida, Cucurbitales, Cucurbitaceae. The record is from RefSeq and is a predicted model, not a curated record.
AUGUGUGUGUAUUGGGUUAAAUUAUAGUUUUGGUCUUCGAACAUCUGAGAUUUUGUCUUAUAGGUCAUUCUAAUAAGUUUUUGAACUGUCAUUGUCGUGUCAAAUUGGUCUUUGAAACUUAAGUGUUGAAGAAGUCUUUGAGUUGGUCAACUUUAGGAAGUGUGUAGAAAGUUCUCUCUUGUAAAAAAAGUGAUUCUUUUUUGUCAAGUCGAUGUCUUGUUGAACAAUUUUUGAAAGUUUAGGGUUGUAUCAGACAAAAUUGAAAGUCAAGGGAUUUAUUAAUAAUCUUUUAAAAUUCAAAGACAUAUCACAAACUUAAAGGUUGAGGGACCAAACUUGUAGUUUAAUCUUUCACAAAAUUCUCAACUAACAUUAUCUUGUCGGUCUCUCCUUGCCCGUGGUUGAUCCAUCCCAGUAAUCCUAGUUCCCUUUUCUUCACCUUGCCUUGGAAGGCUAAAACCUUGAAGAGGAUUGUAUUUUUCUCUUGGUUGGUUAUUUUGGGGAGGUUGAUGCCAUUUACUUUUACUUCAUCCAAAACAUCUUCAUUAUGGUUGUGUGCUCCUAAUGCUGUGUGCUCUGCAAGGAGGUGGAAGAUCUAAACCAUGUAUUUGCACGUGUGAAUAUGCUGUAAAAAUAUGAAAAUAGUUUUGGAUGCGUUUGGCUCCUCUAGAAGUCAUAAGGGACAUUAUGGAGGAGGUGCUUGUUAAUCCUUCAUUUCAUACUAGUGGUUUAAUUAUUUGGCCAGCAACGUUCUUUGUGAGUAUAUGAAACUUAUUGCUGCAAAGAAAUUGGAAAACUUUUCCAAUGGGAACUUGGCCAUUUGUGAAUCCAUGUGGUUGGCUGCCCCAAAAGCUGACGUCUUUUUGAUUUUUUGUCUCCUAAUUGGCUUUUGGUUGGUCCUUGAUCCCCCCCCUCCCCUUGGAAAGCAUCCCUGACUUCUUGGCCCCCCGUUUCCUUGGAUCCUUCCAUA